UACGUAGGGCGCAAGCGUUGUCCGGAAUUAUUGGGCGUAAAGAGCUCGUAGGCGGCUUGUCACGUCGGGUGUGAAAGCCCGGGGCUUAACCCCGGGUCUGCAUUCGAUACGGGCUAGCUAGAGUGUGGUAGGGGAGACUGGAAUUCCUGGUGUAGCGGUGAAAUGCGCAGAUAUCAGGAGGAACACCGGUGGCGAAGGCGGGUCUCUGGGCCGAAACUGACGCUGAGGAGCGAAAGCGUGGGGAGCAAACAGG
Molecule: ribosomal RNA, 253 nt
Filed under: uncultured bacterium
Lineage: Bacteria
Description: partial 16S ribosomal RNA
Rfam family: Bacterial small subunit ribosomal RNA
Source: RNAcentral